RNAcentral lists this unclassified non-coding RNA (250 nucleotides) under Ascomycota sp. RNAcentral's name for it is "partial contains small subunit ribosomal RNA, internal transcribed spacer 1, and 5.8S ribosomal RNA". The stretch from base 1 to 47 matches the Rfam family "Eukaryotic small subunit ribosomal RNA", at positions 1785 to 1831 of the family's 1831-position model. The record is from RNAcentral. Lineage: Eukaryota; Fungi; Ascomycota.
AAAGUCGUAACAAGGUCUCCGUUGGUGAACCAGCGGAGGGAUCAUUACAAGAAGCCGAAAGGCUACUUCAAACCAUCGCGAACUCGUCCAAGUUGCUUCGGCGGCGCGGCAUCCCGUCACCGGGCGCCGCAGCCCGGCCUCUCCGGAGGUGCGGGGCGCCCGCCGGAGGUACGAAACUCUGUAUUAUAGUGGCAUCUCUGAGUAAAAAACAAAUAAGUUAAAACUUUCAACAACGGAUCUCUUGGUUCUG